RNAcentral lists this ribosomal RNA (465 nucleotides) under uncultured bacterium. RNAcentral describes it as "partial 16S ribosomal RNA". It matches the Rfam family "Bacterial small subunit ribosomal RNA", at positions 28 to 506 of the family's 1533-position model. The record is from RNAcentral.
GACGAACGCUGGCGGCGUGCUUAACACAUGCAAGUCGAACGGAAAGGCCCAGCUUGCUGGGUACUCGAGUGGCGAACGGGUGAGUAACACGUGGGUGAUCUGCCCUGCACUCUGGGAUAAGCCUGGGAAACUGGGUCUAAUACCGGAUAUGACCGACUGUCGCAUGGUGGUUGGUGGAAAGCUUUUGCGGUGUGGGAUGGGCCCGCGGCCUAUCAGCUUGUUGGUGGGGUAAUGGCCUACCAAGGCGACGACGGGUAGCCGACCUGAGAGGGUGAUCGGCCACACUGGGACUGAGACACGGCCCAGACUCCUACGGGAGGCAGCAGUGGGGAAUAUUGCACAAUGGGCGCAAGCCUGAUGCAGCGACGCCGCGUGAGGGAUGACGGCCUUCGGGUUGUAAACCUCUUUCACCAGGGACGAAGCGUGAGUGACGGUACCUGGAGAAGAAGCACCGGCCAACUACGU